Non-coding RNA from Acanthosepion pharaonis, 113 nucleotides. NCBI's taxonomy places the organism in Eukaryota, Metazoa, Mollusca, Cephalopoda, Sepiida, Sepiidae. The record is from the annotation of a GenBank genome assembly.
AUGCGGCCAUAUCACGUCGAAACAAUGGUUCCUGUACGAUCAGCGAAGUUAAGCAACGUCAAGCCUCGUUAGAACCUAGAUGGGUAUCCGCUUGGGAAAAUCAGGUGCUGUAA